AAACCACUAUGUGCAGAUCUAACAAGGAAAAAAAGAGAAGAUGGGAUUUUUUUUGAAGAAGACCAAGGUUUGAGGAAGAAGAAAAGAGAAAAAAAACUGGGAGGAUUUUUCUAAAGAAGAAGACAAAGGCCAUUUUAAUGAGCCAUAUUUUGUUCAGUUAAUUUCUCAAGUUAUUGAACUGUAUGUUCAUUUAUGUUCAUGAAGUGCUUAAUAUUUCGCGGUGCUGCUUGAUGCAUGUGGUUGCAUGAUUAAGCUUCAGUAGCAUUGCAGAGAAGAAGGGAAGUGCUCACUAGAAGGCUCAUAUCGUUUAGGUUCCCUCCUCCCAGGUUCUCUCUCAAGAUCCCAUCUUUCUGCAUAGAUUCGGGAAAGAAGAUCACAACGGUGGCUUGCCCGAGUUUCACCUCUAAGCUUUGAACCCGAAACUGCAUUGAAGUUGGCUAGAUAUAUGUGCAUAGAAGAAGGAAAAUGAUCACUAGAAGGCUCAGAUUGUUCAGGUUCCCACCUCCCAGGUUCUUUCUCAAGAUCCCAUCUUACUGCAUAAACACGGGAAAGAAGAUCACAACGGUGGCUUGCCCAGUAGUAGAUUCUUGGCUCCUACUAAUUUACAUGUUGUACUACUAAAACUUCAAUUAUCCGGGUGUAGCAGAGUUUGGAAGCUCUCUUCGAGUGAGAAGAGACACCGAGGAAACAUUAAAUGUUAUAUGCUCCUUAUUAUUUACUAAAAUCAUUUCCUUACUGUUAUUUCACUAGAACUAUUUCUUUUUUAUUACCACAAUUGUUUAUUUGUCAUCUGAAAUUAGAUUCAGAAUAAUCUCAUUUUUUGCAUUAUGUGAACCACAUGGUUCUCAAUUUUCCAUGUUUUCCUAGAGGUGCUAAAGUCUAGGUGAUUUUUGGUUGGUGUAUUAGAACUGGAUAAGCAAGAAUUGUUAUUUUACAAAAAUGAGCAUCCAUUUUCUAAUUUCAAGAUCCAUACUGAAUGCAUGAAACAUCAAUUGACAUAGUGAACGUUUGUAGUUAUGGCCAUUGCUUAGGCUCAUAUCCCAAUAAAUUUAAAUCGUUAUUUAUUAACAUGCAUGAAACAUCAGUUGACAUAGUGAAUGUUCUUAUAGAUGUUCCGUGUGAAGGACCCAAAAGUGAGCCUCCACUUCAACUCGAGUGUGAUGGGAAUGUCGUCGUAGGGCACUGAGUGGCAGUGCACCAUGCCAUUGGUACAUCAACGAAGACUUGCCUGAAAUCAAUGAGCUUCAAGCAAGAUAGGUGCCUCCUGAUUAUUCAGGGAGUUAAUAUUAACUUUGUUACACUCUGUUUCGUAGAGUUAAUUGUCUGGUUGUCGCUGCUUUCUAAUCCAAAAAGGUGAUUAGUUGAAGAUAUAAAACUCCUUAGGCAUGUAAACAGAAAAUAGAAUUAGGAACUGUUGAUAUAUGCCCAUAGUUAAUAGUGUUCUCAUUUCCUAGAGUUGCACCUGCCUGAUAUAUGUCCGUUCUUUCGUCAGGGCUUGAUGUAUGUCCCGUUGCCUGUUGCCUAUCUCAGUUUGCAUGUUUAUCCUCUCUGCAAUCAGAUGCUCAUAUGAUCACAUUUGCUAUUGACAGUACCUACCAGUUCAGUUCACAUCAGUGUUUGAUACUGAAAACCACAGUGAGUUGUUUCUUUUCCUUUGUCUGAUGCUCUGAGUGUAUUCUCUCAAUUGUAAGAAUUACAAAUAUGGCUCCAGUGCACUCUCUUGUCUGGUCCUCACGAUCAUCUCACCUGGAUUCUCUACAUCAGAUUUUCCAUUGGUUGUUUUUGAGAGAUUGUCAAAAUACCAGAGCAAUGUUGUGCAAAGAAAGAAACUUCCAAUUCCAAGUGUGCAACAGCAAACCAUUGGAACAAUGGAAUAGGUGUCAGUUUGCAAAAGGCUGUGUUGGUCUUAUGCAUGCUCAGGAAUUGCUUUUAUCUUUUGAACUUGCAAAUGCAAAUGAGAAGGAAAAAUAAAACUGUUGGCCGUAAACACAGGCAUGCCCGAGAUUCGGCCGGCACAUGUAAAACAGAACCGUGCAUACUUUGCUAGAGACCAAAUCUGAAUUCACUGAAACUAAGCAUUUCCCUGGGUACUAUGCGUUAGAUGAAGAUGACUCAAUACAUCAGGACUGUGAGGACUACAACCUCGACUGUGAUGGGCUUCUGAUGUUCCAUUCUGGGUAGUGAUCUCGCUGAUCAUUGUGCCAAUCGUAUUUGAUGGUUAGCCUUAGACUAUAUGUAAAUAACGGAAUAACUCUGUUGUGAACCCAGAUAAGACCCCUCCCGGUGUUUGACAGCUGUUCUCUUAAUAACAAAUUUUUAAAGGUACUCAUAAUUGAUUUUCUUUAUUGGUUCAUAUGUUUGUUUUCAAAUGCACCAGACGUGUUACUUCUACCUUCGUACAUAUAAAUUUCAGUAUGCUCAUAAAUCCUCUGCCAUUAUUUUGGGUAACAAGAAGUCAUCUCAUAUCCAUUUCUUAUUUUCUAGAAUUGGUUUAAACAUUUUGUUCAGUAGAAUAUUUCAGGGGUUUUGGUGUACGAGCUGUGAUUACUUCAAAUCUUUGCACACUGGUUUUACUGUAGUGCCGAAGAGAAUGGCAGAUCAGGGAGGAUGCAUAUCGAUGUGCUGAGGACUGACGGUUGUGGGCUGGCGGUAGUGCAUCCAUAGGGAUCAGCGGACGUGUGUCACUGAUUUAGUGCAUAAGAUUCUUGAAAGUUUCUACCGUUUGUGGUAAAGUGUUCAUGUGGGAAGUCAGCUUACUGAUUAAUUUUCAACCGUUUCUGCAUGAGUGCUACGUUUCUGUACUAUGUUGCAAGUAGCAUUUCAUUAUCCUGAUUCAUAUACAAGGUUUUCCCUAUGCAUCCCUGAUUGAUAUUUAUUUGGAGGUUGAAGACCAGAUUCACAGAAGAACCAAACCCUUCAAGCAUUUGUUGAUAGAUAUACUGACCGCCGUUACUAUUUACCAUUUUGAACUACAAGUUCUUAACCUCAUUUUCUAUUAAGUUCAUUUUCUACUGGCUCUGUUAUUAGUGCAGCGCUGCCAUUUAUGGUUACUAUUGAUAUGUUGGUUUAUGGUUUAUUGAGAUCAGUGUUCUCUUAUCCAUCGGUGUUUGCAUCUAACUGGUUUUUAUGAGACUGCACCCAAAAUCUAAUACGUGUUGGUCUUUGAAUAGUCCCCCUUCAGGAAAGGAACUUUCUUAGAUGUAUGCUUGCAGUGAGUAUUUUCCAAACAUCGAAAGACGGGGCCGUGUGCCAAGGUGUUCUCCUAAAUCUUAUAGAGCCCACUAUCAUAGUAAAAGAGCACAAGGCGUAGUUCUUUUUCCUAUAUUUUGGUUGCACACUACCACUGAGUUCCUCAUACUUUUGCAUCUGUUUGUAUAUUCAUAUGUUUGUUGUUUGCUACAACUCCUGAAUUAAACAAUGGUUCUACCCAUGUAUCUGCCAACAAAAUUGCUCGCCAAUUUGGUACACUUGGUUUGCAGCUCCGUUUGUAGUUUCAUGUGAUUUAUCCAAAUUUUAUUCCAGCGAUAUCUUUUUCUGAAACCUAAGAAGUGUAUAAUCAUGUAUUAAUUUUUUUUUGCCGUUAUACAAAAUGUACAUUGGCACGAGCUCAACGGGGCGCCAAGGCGCACAAGUAAAUAAGGGACGAGUACCCGAACUGCAUUUUAGUCCUCACCUACAUUAUCUCCAUUUUAUCACAUACUAUAAACUUAAGUGCUUGUAUUUCAUUUUAAACUACUUGAUUUCAUGUGCAAAAUAUGGAAGUCUUUGAUUUUGGGUUGCGCACUGUAUUCAUCAGCUCAUGGCAAGAGUCUAUCUCUUUAAUGUUUAUGAACUAAGUCACUACUUGAAGAUUCCAAAGGUGAGAUUAUGUGCAUCAUCAAUGUAUAAUAAUUUCACUUUGUUUUUUAAUGAUUUCUUGGGUAAGAGUGCAGAUUCUUAAGACAUUAUAUUUAUGUCCUAUAUUUACAGAAGGCAAAAUCUUCAGUUGUUGACAAAGCUAGACUUGAGUGGCACCCUUGGAGUCUGGAGAUAUGCCACCAUCGGUGAUUCUUUCCAUUGAUAGGUGAGGACAGGAUCUUUUGCCUUAUCAGGUAUCUUAUAGAGUUAUUUGACAAUUGAUAUAUUUAUUUAGUUUAGUUACGAAAGGGAUUUCAGUGUGUGCUAGCAUUCUUCACGUGAAAACAUUUUUUUACAUAUAAUUAUGUAUACAACUUUUGUGGUAACUGAGAAGUGACACUAAUAUACCUUUAUCAUUGGCUGUGUUUUGUUGCUUGGUUGCAGUUUGGUCCUAGCAUGUUUCAAGUGCAGGUCUGCAUUUGUGGUUCAUUUUUUCACGUUAGUUCUGAUAUACUUGUGAUUAUCCUUCCUUAACCAUGAAAUAUUUGUUGCCUAUAAUUAUAGUCUGAAGUGUUGCACCUAUAGACUCUUUUAGUAGUAUGUGGUUUUUACCUGUACUGGAUUUAUAGUUUAUUGGAGCCUUGUAUGAUUUAAUACAAGUUUCUAAAACCUUGUUCGAUUUUUUUAUUUUACUUGUUUCAUCGUCUAUCCUUGAAGGAGCUCAAUGAUAUACACUGUAAUGAAAAAAGCCCUAAGUGACACUGACACAAAUAUAGACAUCCAUUACUAUAGCUAGAAAAGAGAGAUAAUGGAGACAAGUUAAUCGGUAAUUAGCAUACCUCUCUAAGUAGGUAUUACUUAAAUAAAUUAUGGCACCAACCUACUAUCAAGAUAUAGGUUAUCGGGAUCUGCAGUGCCCAUAUAAUAACUUUAGUGGCUAGAUCAGAAACCUAAUUCAAGCAAAUUGAAUAUGAAAAAGAAAUGCACCGGUCGUAAAAUUUUGUAAGUGAAAGCUUUGGAUAGGUAGGUGUCUUAUUAGCUUUGAUUGAAUUAAGUCCUUUCUUGCUAUUUUUAUUAAAAACAAUAAGAUGCCAUAAAAGUCAGUGACAAGCCAUCAUAAAAAUGUUAGCUCCAGGUUGUAGAGAUUCUGAUUUAGGAUAGCUAUUGUUUAUUAAUAGGAAAAACUAUUUCAUGAGUGUUGCAUUGUAUUGUAUCCUUUAGAAUUAUUUUUCAGUGAUGAUUAAUUAUGAGAAUCUAUAUAGUUCUAAUGCUGCUCUCUUUGCUAUAAAGAUAUGUUCUAUUUGGAUCAUUGAUUGAGAUCAGACAUAAAUCCAAUGCAUGUCUUUUUGCUAAGAGCAUGUACUCUCUAUGGAUCACUGAUGCCACCAUUUCUCUGUUAUGAAGUAUUGAUGUUGUCUAUGUUAAAUAAUGUCACGUGCAACCUUUUUUCUGCACUGCAGGAUUUUUGCUUGCCAUGUCAUAGCUACACCACAUGCGCCUGGGUUGUGCUACAGUAGUAUUGACAGAAAAAUUGCGCAAAGUUCAUGAAGAAUUUGCCAGUAUACUGUUGUGCAAAAAAAAUCACCUAACAUGGUUAAUUCUGUUGAUGCAGAACCUGAAACAUGAGCGGUUCAUUGCGUUUGUUGACAAGCUUGUCCUAAACCUCAGCAUCGAUGAAGUGAUUUAGGACAUGUUUCUUCCUUCUCUAGAGCAUGGGUUGCUGCUGAGAUAGUUUCACUUGGAAGUGAAAGGGGAAGUGUAUUUAACACUUUAGCACAUUAUUAUUGCCUUUUCUGGUCCAGUACAUGAGAACUUGUUUUCAGCUUCGUGUCCCUGUUGCUUGACGCAUUGCUAGAAGGGGAUGCGCGAGAGUAGUGGCUGGACAUUAUUUAGUUCUUGCACCUCUGAUAGUGAGAUUGAGAAAUUCAAGGCCUUUAUAUGCGUGCUCUUGUGGCUUUAUUAUUUACUGCUUACACCAACGUAUUUGUUUUGAGACAAUCUGAUGCACUUUUUUUUUGAAAACCUACUGAGUAGUUUUAGAUGGAAUGUUCUCUUGGAUUAUAAUUAAUUUUGUAGCUUCAGAUGGAAUGUUGUGUGCCUUUCAUUGAGUUGCCUUAUAAAUGUACUUAUUACAUAUGCAAUUCAAUCCACAAUGACAUU
Long non-coding RNA from Lolium rigidum, 5997 nucleotides. RefSeq lists it as uncharacterized. The record is from RefSeq and is a predicted model, not a curated record. The transcript has 5 exons. NCBI's taxonomy places the organism in Eukaryota, Viridiplantae, Streptophyta, Magnoliopsida, Poales, Poaceae.